GUGAGGAAUAUUGGUCAAUGGACGGAAGUCUGAACCAGCCAUGCCGCGUGAAGGAUGAAGGCGUUCUGCGUUGUAAACUUCUUUUAUCAGAGAAGAAACCACUGAUUUCUAUUAGUGUUGACGGUAUCUGAUGAAUAAGCACCGGCUAACUCCGUGCCAGCAGCCGCGGUAAUACGGAGGGUGCAAGCGUUAUCCGGAUUUACUGGGUUUAAAGGGUGUGUAGGCGGGCUAUUAAGUCAGGGGUGAAAUCCCGGGGCUCAACCUCGGAACUGCCUUUGAUACUAUUAGUCUUGAAUUAUGUUGAGGUUGGCGGAAUAUAACAUGUAGCGGUGAAAUGCAUAGAUAUGUUAUAGAACACCGAUUGCGAAGGCAGCUGGCUAAACAUAUAUUGACGCUGAGGCACGAAAGCGUGGGUAGCGAACAGGAUUAGAUACCCCAGUAGUCC
RNAcentral lists this ribosomal RNA (445 nucleotides) under uncultured bacterium. RNAcentral's name for it is "bacterial SSU rRNA". It matches the Rfam family "Bacterial small subunit ribosomal RNA", at positions 354 to 796 of the family's 1533-position model. The record is from RNAcentral.